CGAGUAGGUGUUUACUUCCCGGGAAUGUGAGGGUGGAUUCACUCACCACAAGUUGGGAUAUGCAGGCACAUGGAGAUACCUGAGUGGAAGGAAGAAGUGAACAGAGUAUCAAAAUGACUACAAGGGUAAAUUUUCUCCAACACAAUUUCUCCGGCUUUUCUCCAGCUUGGUCGUUCACACAAACAUUCUUCAUAUUGUUGGUCUGUGUCCCCACUGUCAUUUUUUCAGCCGAAGAGAGCAAGAUCAGGUGCACAGUGUCACCUGUGCUGCCUCUCAGUGAUGCUAACCUUACCUGUUACUUUCCCGAGGACCUCAGUAUAACAAGGAAAGACUUCACGGUCUAUCAUUAUGCUCAGCAUGGCAGUGCAG
Molecule: long non-coding RNA, 369 nt
Organism: Pomacea canaliculata
Lineage: Eukaryota; Metazoa; Mollusca; Gastropoda; Architaenioglossa; Ampullariidae
Exons: 3
Source: RefSeq, a predicted model, not a curated record